RNAcentral lists this ribosomal RNA (248 nucleotides) under uncultured bacterium. RNAcentral's name for it is "partial 16S ribosomal RNA". It matches the Rfam family "Bacterial small subunit ribosomal RNA", at positions 523 to 769 of the family's 1533-position model. The record is from RNAcentral.
AUACGGAGGGUGCAAGCGUUACUCGGAAUCACUGGGCGUAAAGGGUGCGUAGGCUGACUUUUUAAGUCAGGCGUGAAAUCCAAUGGCUUAACCAUUGAACUGCGCUUGAAACUGGGAGUCUAGAGUUCAGAAGGGGCAGAUGGAAUUAGUGGUGUAGGGGUAAAAUCCGUAGAUAUCACUAGGAAUAUCAAAAGCGAAGGCGAUCUGCUGGGAUGAUACUGACGCUGAGGCACGAAAGCGUGGGGAGC